CUGACACAUCCAUCCAACUAUAUCUCAUUCACUUUCUACUCCCUCCCUCUCCCCCCUCUCUCUUUCUCUUCCAUACCUCCUCUUUCUUUGUCUAUCCCUUUUCUUGCUUUCUCUUUCUCUCUCCCUUUUUCUUGCUUUCCCUUUUCUUGCUUUUCUUUCUUGCUUUUCCCCUUCCCUUCCUCCUUCCCUCUCUCCUUCUAAAGCUACUGAAACAAAAACUGCUUUGGAUGAAACCGGCCAUUACACACACUUACACACACACUCACUUCCAACCAGCUCUAGUGCCUCGCCUCGCCAUUUGCUUUUAGAGGCGGGCCGGUCGCCUAAGUAGUUUCCACGGGCCCGGCAGCGUUGCUUGCCUCCCAGGAAACCCCAACUGAUUGACUGACUGGGGCGCACGCACCAUGCUGGCGGCGCACUUGGAUCGGUGCCUCUUCCACAUUAAAGAGAAUUCUAUGCAUUACAACAAUUCAAAGAAAACAGAAACAUGUGUCCCAAACUAUCCUGUGGGAUAAUACAUAAUUCAUGUGAAUGAUAGAGGUUUCCCUUUCCUUCAAGAGGUCGGCAUAUCAAGAUUAAACCACUUUGCUUCUUUCAAACCCUUGCUUAUAAACUGGAGUGGAGGGAAGGUUGGAAUGGAAUGCUGAGAAGUUAUGCACAGAUUUUGAGAAUCUGGAAACCAUCAAGGUCACCACUGCAAGUGCUUAAGAAGGAGGUGGACUGGGGGCGUGGCUAGAGUCACAGCGAGAUGACAUGUCUCUUGGAAGCUCCAAGGGGCAGCGUUGAAUCCACAUUGUCAGAACGAUCCACUGAGGGGUGAUUGAGAAAGAGAGCACACUCUGGAGGUCAUGGGCAGUCUGCAAACUCCCUAUUUGAAAGCUCUCAAAGCCAACGGAGUGGAAGAGACAGCCAUCAUGGGCGGGACAGAAGCUGGGGCAGCCACAGGAAGAAAGCUUUGAAGAGAGAAACUGGAUGAGAGUUUUCCAAUUUCGUUUUUUCUUUGCUAGAAGUGGGAUGAAAGUUCCCUGGAAAAACAGCUGGUGUAAAGAGGGCUCUAAAAGGAGGUGGAUUUGGUUUUCUCCCCCACCUCCCCUGAAAAGCGGCAAGGAGAGCUUUUGCCAUUUUGGAACAGGAAGUUAAAACUUUUAGAAAAAGAGUGAAAAUAUUCUGGACUUAAAAGCUGGACUAGGAGCCUCAAAUAUAUUAUUGGACUGUAGAGAACUUUGGACCAAAACAAUAUUUGGAUAAAUAGAGCUGCCCUUUUUGUAUUUUUGUAUUAUAUUAUUAUUUUCUUUUUCUUUCUUUUUUUUCUUUCUUCCCUUUAAAGUCCAAACUGGAAAGAGAGAAAAGAUAGGAGAAAGAGAGAGAGAAGCAGAAGUUGGAAGUGGAAGCUGGGAAUAGCAGAUUUAGCCUUGAGAAUUCUGUAAACAAGAUAUGAAUGGACUGCUAGAAUAUCUUUGUUGACUUAAGUUAGUUAGAUUGAAAACUGAAAAUUGAGGUGGAGAGCAUAAGACUGAGACUUUUUAAAGUCUUAUUUUUAAAUAGCUCAGCUCUUGAAACUCAAAUAUAAGAAAGGCUUCUAUGUGGCUUUCCCCCCCAAUUCCUAUUCUUUUUUUUCUGGCUCUGUGAACUUUGUGAACUCUCCCUUGAAGAUUAUAAAACAACUGGGAUUGGUGGGCCUAUGUGGAUUACAAUUUAUUGAUAUAUCACCCCUUUUUUGGUGGAAUAUUAAAGGAUUAAGGUCAGAAGAACCUGAAGAAAAUAAUAAUAACAAGAAGAUAGAGGGUAAAAGAUUGAAAACUUUCGGGGGUUUCACCUCCUCUUUUUUGGAUUUUUAGAUUAAAACUUAUUUUUGAUCUCUUUUCUGGUUUUUUGGCUUUUUUUCAUUGCUGCUUCUAUUUUUUUUUUCCUUUUUCAUCCUUGGAUUAAAGUUGAUUAUUACUUUUUCCUUUUCUUGUGGAUUACAAAUAUUAAAAAGAUUUAAGAUGAGGAAAUAUCAGCACCAACGUCAGCGUCUUCUUCAGCUGCUUCGAGUCCCUCUAGGCAGAGGACAUUAGAUGCUUUAGUACAACCAGAAAAAAUGACCGCCAUGCAGGCUAUGCAUGCAGAUCUGAAAGCAAUGAUGCAAGCAUUGCAUGAGGAAUUUAAAGUGGUAAAAGAGAAAAUAGGGAAAGUAGAGGAUAAAUUAGAAGACAAACUGUAUGGGACACAGCCAAAGCAGCCAAGGCUUAUAUUAGAGGUUUAGCUAUAACGUACAGUGCAAAAACUAAACAGAAAGAAGAAACAAAACCAGAGGACAUUAGAAGAAUAAUAUAAGAGAUUAGAGAUAGAACUACAAAAAGAUCCACAAAAAAAGGAUAUAAAGAAUCAAAUGGACUUAACGAAACAUAAACUGAGCUUGAUAGAUAAAGAAGAUUUAGCAAGGAAAAUUAAAAGUGUUAAAGAAAACUUUUUUGAAAAUGCGAAUAAACCAGGAAGAUGGCUGGCAUAUAAACUGAAAAAAGAGAAAGAAAAGAAAUUGAUAGAUAAGUUAAUGGACAAUGAUGGGAAAAUUUACUACCAAAAUGAGGAUAAGAAGAAAGCAAUCCAAAGUUACUAUAAGAAUUUAUACGAUUAGGAAUCAAUAUCACAAGAGAAAAUAAAACAAUAUUUAGAAAAAGCAGAGCUAGCUAAAAUACCUGAAUCAGUCAAAGCAAUGUUAGAUGUACGUAUAUCAAUGAUGGAGUUAACAGAAGCAAUUAAGAGACAAAAGUAUGGAACACCAGGACCAGAUGGUCUACCAGCAAAAUUGUAUAAAGAGCUGCAAGAAACUUUGGGUAAUCCAAUGUUGGAAAUAUUUAAUGAACUUUUGCUAGAGGCAAAUGUACUGAAUUCAUGGAUGGAAGCAUAUAUUACCCUUAUACUGAAAGUAGAUGCAGAUCUACAACAAAUAAAAAAUUACAGACCAAUAUCCCUGUUGAAUACAGAUUAUAAAAUAUUUGCUUCAAUAAUGGCAGAAAGACUAAAACAAUUUUUAAACCAAUUUGUACAUCCAGAUCAAAAUGUUUUUUUUUACCUAAGAGACAAUUUUUUUUACCUAAGAGACCUAAGAGACAAAUUAAAGAUAACAUGAGAAUAAUCUUGAAUACUUGAGUAUUAUGAAGCACAUCCAGAGAAACAAAUGGUGCUGAUUUUUUAGAUGCACAGAAAGCAUUUGACAAUGUGAACUGGCAAUUUAUGUUAAUUCAGUUUUAAAAGAUGCACUUUGGGGAGGGAUUUGUCAAUAUGAUCAAGGCAAUAUACCGGGCCUGGUGGCUCAGCAGACUGAUAGCAUUGUGAUUAACACCAGCUGUCUGCAAUUAAAGUAAGUUCGAAUCUCGCCAGGCUCAAGGUUGACUCAGCCUUCCAUCCUUUCUAAGGUAGGUAAAUUGAGGACCCAGUUUGUGGGGGCAAUAAGCUGACUUUGUAUAAAUAUAUAAAAGUAUAAAGGCUAUUGCUUAACGCAUUGUAAGCCACCCUGAGUCUCUGGAGAAGGGCGGCAUAUAAAUCAAAUUAAAAAUAAAAAUAAGCAAACAGCAAAAAUAAUGGUAAAUGAAGACAUGACUGAGAAAGUUAGCAUUAAGAAAGGUACAAGACAAGAAUGUCCCCUGUCCCCAUUAUUGUUUAUACUGACACUGGAAGUACUAAACAGGAACAUUAGACAAGAUACAGAGAUAAAAGGUAUGGAGAUUAAAAGGGAACAGUACAAGUUACAGGCGUUUGCAGAUGACCUAGCUUUUAUUGUGGAAGAUCCACUAGUAAUAGGGCCUAAAUCAAUUAAAAAAAAUAGAAGAAUAUGGAGAAGUGGCAGUUCUGAAAAUAAAUAAAGAGAAAACUAAGAUUUUAGUUAAAAACAUUGCAGACAAGCAAAAAAUAGAGUUAACAAAGAGAAUAGAUAUUCAGAUUGGAAAGAAAGUUAAGUACCUAGGGAUUCAGUUGACAGCAAGAUGUGUAACAAUUAAAGAAGAUAAUUAUUAUAAGUGGCUGAAACAAAUUCAAAUAGACCUGGAAAAGUGGAAGAAUCUAAAAUUGUCAUUGGUAGGGAGAAUAGCAACAAUUAAAAUGAACAUACUACCAAGUACUUAUUUCAAACAAUUCCAAUAAAACUGGGGAAAAAAUAUUUGAGGAACUUAAUAAAAUAAUACACAAAUAUAUUUGGCAAGGGAAAAAAGCAAGAAUUGACCUGAAAAUGAUGCAAGAUAUAAGAAGAAGAGGUGGUUUUGGACUACCAAACUGGGAGCUAUAUUACCAGACUGUGGUAUUAACAUGGAUGAAAGAGUGGAUUGUAUUGAGAAACACAAGAUUAUUGACUCUGGAAGGACAUGAUUUACAACUGGGGUGGCAUGCUUUUCUGUGGUAUGGGAAAAAUAAGAUACCUGGAUAUUUUCAGAGACAUUCUAUAAGAAUUGCAUUAAUGAUAGUAUGGGAGAAAACUAAAGAACAACAUUAUUUGAGGAUACCGUUCUGGCUUUCAACAAUGAAAGCAUUCAUCCACCCAAAUGUUAUUAAUAUGGGAAAUAUUGUUAGGUACAAAGACAUUUUGAAUGAAAAGGGGGAAUUGAAAAUGAAAGAGGAAAUGAGUGAGCAAGGAAUCAAUUUAUCAUAGUAUGCACAAGUGCAGAUACAUUCUCGAUAUGAGAAAGAUGUAAAAUCACAGGAUUUUUAUGAAGAAUCAACAGAAUUAAAUAAAAUUUUAACAGGAACAGAUGAAAGAUUAAUAAAGAAACUGUAUAAUUA
Pantherophis guttatus is the source of this 4755-nucleotide long non-coding RNA. RefSeq lists it as uncharacterized. The record is from RefSeq and is a predicted model, not a curated record. Lineage: Eukaryota; Metazoa; Chordata; Lepidosauria; Squamata; Colubridae.